Neogale vison (American mink) is the source of this 108-nucleotide small nuclear RNA. The record is from Ensembl. Lineage: Eukaryota; Metazoa; Chordata; Mammalia; Carnivora; Mustelidae.
GUUUGUGCUCACUUCGGCAGCCAUCCACUAACAUCGGACGAUACAGAGAUUAGCCUGAUCCCUGGGCAAGGAUGACACGCAAAUUCAUGAAUGACGUUCCAUGUUUUA